Molecule: ribosomal RNA, 274 nt
Filed under: uncultured bacterium
Lineage: Bacteria
Description: partial 16S ribosomal RNA
Rfam family: Bacterial small subunit ribosomal RNA
Source: RNAcentral
AUACGGAGGGUGCAAGCGUUGUUCGGAAUUACUGGGCGUAAAGCGCGCGUAGGUGGUCUGUUAUGUCAGAUGUGAAAGUCCACGGCUCAACCGUGGAAGUGCAUUUGAAACUGGCAGACUUGAGUACUGGAGGGGGUAGUGGAAUUCCCGGUGUAGAGGUGAAAUUCGUAGAUAUCGGGAGGAAUACCGGUGGCGAAGGCGACUACCUGGCCAGAUACUGACACUGAGGUGCGAAAGCGUGGGGAGCGAACAGGAUUAGAUACCCGUGUAGUCC